Molecule: long non-coding RNA, 326 nt
Organism: Xenopus tropicalis (tropical clawed frog)
Lineage: Eukaryota; Metazoa; Chordata; Amphibia; Anura; Pipidae
Exons: 3
Source: RefSeq, a predicted model, not a curated record
ACAGAAUUUAGGGGGAGAAGAUCCAGAUGUGCAGGAGCAGCAGGGAGAGCAGAGCCGGACACAGCAGAGAAAGGUCUGCGACGUAGAAACACUGAAAGGCAACAGCAACAGAAUAUUACAAGGAUCAGACGACUGUGGGGCUCCGCGCUGCAGGAACUGGAACAGAACAAGCAGAUCUGGAAAUGAUCCGCACACUGGAAUUCCUUUCUAUUUUCUUUCUUCUCUUCCCUCCAAUCUCCCCAGAGAGAGUUUCCCACCCCAGAGAUCCAGCUGAUCCGCAGCCCAAGGCAGAGCUGCACGGCCGGCCCAUCCUCACCCCCAAAUCU